UGGUAUGCUUCUGGAAACCCGGAGCGCUCCGUACUUUCAAGUUGUUUUCGAUGUUCGGGCUUUCGAAUUGACGAUCGGCUCCGUUAGACUUGAUCUAGAGUAUUUGAAGUGUCUAAAAAAUAAAUUUUGCGAUUUUUCGAUAUCAUUUGCCUAGUGAUCAAAGUGGCUCAAAAUCAACAGCUGAAAAUAAAAAUCUUACAAAAUAUGAUGAUAUGACAUUAAAAUUUUAGAUCAAAGUUAUUGAUCUUGUUUUAUAUGGUAUAAAGAAUUUUCUAUCAAAAUUUCAUGUGAUUUGGAUAUUUCUACACUAUUGAACUUGCAAACGACUCACCACGGUCAUUAAAAUUAUUGAUUUUGAGUCCGUUCAAUCACUAGGCAAAUGAUAUCGAAAAAUAACAAAAUUUAUUUUCUAGGUAUUUCAAAUACUCUAGAUCAACUCUAACGGAGCCGAUCGUUGAUUCGAAAGUCCGAAAAUCA
This 477-nucleotide long non-coding RNA is filed under the name Ananas comosus (pineapple). RNAcentral describes it as "long non-coding RNA (ACOM_LNC028985)". The record is from RNAcentral. Lineage: Eukaryota; Viridiplantae; Streptophyta; Magnoliopsida; Poales; Bromeliaceae.